This 793-nucleotide ribosomal RNA is filed under the name uncultured bacterium. RNAcentral describes it as "bacterial SSU rRNA". It matches the Rfam family "Bacterial small subunit ribosomal RNA", at positions 54 to 855 of the family's 1533-position model. The record is from RNAcentral.
CAUGCAAGUCGAGCGGAGACAGUGAGUAGCUUGCUAUGAGCUGUUUUAGCGGCGGACGGGUGAGUAACACGUGAGCAACCUUUCCCAGACAGGGGAAUAACACACCGAAAGGUGUACUAAUACCGCAUAAGACCACGGGAUCACAUGGUUCUGGGGUAAAAGAUUUAUCGGUUUGGGGUGGGCUCGCGUCCGAUUAGGUAGUUGGUGAGGUAACGGCCCACCAAGCCGACGAUCGGUAGCCGACCUGAGAGGGUGAUCGGCCACAUUGGGACUGAGACACGGCCCAAACUCCUACGGGAGGCAGCAGUGGGGAAUAUUGGGCAAUGGGGGGAACCCUGACCCAGCAACGCCGCGUGGAGGAAGAAGGUUUUCGGAUCGUAAACUCCUGUCCUUGGAGACGAGUAGAAGACGGUAUCCAAGGAGGAAGCCCCGGCUAACUACGUGCCAGCAGCCGCGGUAAUACGUAGGGGGCAAGCGUUGUCCGGAAUAAUUGGGCGUAAAGGGCGCGUAGGCGGCUCGGUAAGUCUGGAGUGAAAGUCCUGCUUUUAAGGUGGGAAUUGCUUUGGAUACUGUCGGGCUUGAGUGCAGGAGAGGUUAGUGGAAUUCCCAGUGUAGCGGUGAAAUGCGUAGAGAUUGGGAGGAACACCAGUGGCGAAGGCGACUAACUGGACUGUAACUGACGCUGAGGCGCGAAAGUGUGGGGAGCAAACAGGAUUAGAUACCCUGGUAGUCCACACUGUAAACGAUGAAUGCUAGGUGUAGGGGGUAUCGACCCCUUCUGUGCCGCAGUCAA